GCCGUCCUACGGGAGGCAGCAGUGAGGAAUAUUGGUCAAUGGGCGGGAGCCUGAACCAGCCACGCCGCGUGAGGGAAGAAGGUACAGCGUAUCGUAAACCUCUUUUGUCAGGGAACAAAGGCGGGGACUAGUCCCCGGAUGAGGGUACCUGAAGAGAAAGCAUCGGCUAACUCCGUGCCAGCAGCCGCGGUAAUACGGAGGAUGCGAGCGUUAUCCGGAUUUAUUGGGUUUAAAGGGUGCGUAGGCGGGCAUUUAAGCCGGCGGUCAAAUGUCGGGGCUCAACCCCG
Molecule: ribosomal RNA, 287 nt
Filed under: uncultured bacterium
Lineage: Bacteria
Description: partial 16S ribosomal RNA
Rfam family: Bacterial small subunit ribosomal RNA
Source: RNAcentral